This 252-nucleotide long non-coding RNA is filed under the name Eucalyptus grandis. Its description in RNAcentral is "long non-coding RNA (EGRA_LNC001492)". The record is from RNAcentral. Lineage: Eukaryota; Viridiplantae; Streptophyta; Magnoliopsida; Myrtales; Myrtaceae.
CUGAUACAGUGAUUGUCGGGUUGUUUUCAGUUUGUAGUGCUACCUUGAGGGCCUAAUUUCUGAAUAUGCUAGGUUCUCGGUAUGAAGACUUUUCUUACAGGACCUAAGUUAUGCUUCGUUGCAAACUGUUAGCAUCUCAUUCCGAAAAGAUGAACUGGUACUGUGAUUUUGCCUAAUUUCUGAAUAUUCCACGUAGGUACCUUUCAUAACUAGAAGGUCUCUUUCUUCUCGUGCUUCAUUCAUGAUUGGCAU